This 27-nucleotide non-coding RNA is filed under the name Bombyx mori (domestic silkworm). Lineage: Eukaryota; Metazoa; Arthropoda; Insecta; Lepidoptera; Bombycidae. The record is from RNAcentral.
UACCGGAUCCGAGGGUUGACAAGUGGU